GCCUUAUUAAUCAUUUUACAUAUCAACAACAAUAGUUAAAUAUAUUUUAACCAAACACUUAACAUAAAUUAGCUAUCAUCAGCAGCUAGCAGUAAUAACUGCCAAUCAAUAGUCAUCAGUUGCAUAUAAUAGCUAAACCAAACAGAUUCUAAGUGUGGCUGGAGAAUGAAUAAUUAAAUAAUCAAUUUAAUGAAGGAUGAGUGUACUAGAAUGAUGAUGAACUCAAGCAGCAUGGAUAUCUUCAAAAUAUGCUCUAACGUCUGCAGGUAAACACAAACAAUGUCUCUAUUCUUCAGUACCAUGUGAUAUCCUGCAUUCUUGAAAGACUUUGAAGUAAGUUUGCAUCGAACAAGUAAAUGUCAUGAACCUAUAAAUCGACAUGACAUAAUGGUCUCAAGUAUGUUUAUACUCCAAGUUUGUUCAAGUUAGAGAUGAACAUACUAGAGAAUUCAAAAUGACAAUUAGCCAGCCAAGUUGCGAAAUCACUAAUAUAAAAACCAACAUAGUAACACCAUGUCAACUACUUGCUAUUCCAAAAUUUUGAAUUCUCGAGAAAAGCAAGCUCAAGUUCUAAUAUAAAAACAAGUCGUUAACAGAAUUCUGCAUUACAUAAUGCUCACCACUAGAGUACGAAUAGAGGAAAAACUCUUCCACGAAACCUAUGACCUAGGCUUUUCCUUUUUUUCUUUGAACAGUGCCAGAAGAGAGACACCAGAAACUUUCACAACCUUGAACCUAACUCCAGGAAUAUCUCCAACAGCAUGCCCCUUCCGUCCAAAUCCAGCAAUCAAUACUUCAUCCUGUACCAAUCAGUGCUCAUCAGGAUAACACAAAAGAGAAACAGCAAUAAUCUAGUAGGAUUCAAGAACUACGCAUUCCAAUCCAGUGUACAUAUAAUUAAAGAUAGGAGAUAGGGAGAAGAGCCCGCCACGUAAUUGUUACAGAAAUUCCACAGACAAUAAUGCAAGAAAUAUCUAGAUCCUCCUCCUUAAAUCAACCAAAAUUUCAGAAAGCAACAUUGUUAUGAUAUUUGAGGAGGGUGUAAUUCAAAUUUUUUCCCUUCAUUUCAUUUGAGUUUGUCCAGAAGUGCAAAAAAAGCUUAGCAAAAUUAAUUGAAAAUAACAACAAUCUUAUGGGAGAAUUAUAUAUAUAUAUGUAAAUUUGUAAUGGUGUUGGAAUUUUGAUUUCUUGGCCAGGUUUAUGUUUUCCUGAUUUCUAUGGUUAAUGCUAUGAUGAAUUACUAUUUACCUCCAGAGGUUGGAUCAUAAUCACUGGUUGACAAAUGUAAAGGCUGCAACUGAAGUUGGCAUUGUUGGCCUUCA
Molecule: unclassified non-coding RNA, 1322 nt
Filed under: Hevea brasiliensis (rubber tree)
Lineage: Eukaryota; Viridiplantae; Streptophyta; Magnoliopsida; Malpighiales; Euphorbiaceae
Source: RNAcentral